GACGAAUGCUGGCUGCGUGCUUAACACAUGCAAGUCGAACGGUGAAGGAGGGCUUGCCCUCCGGAUCAGUGGCGAACGGGUGAGUAACACGUGGGCAACCUGCCCCUCACUCUGGGAUAACGCCGGGAAACCGGCGCGAAUACCGGAUACGACCAGGCGCGACAGCCCGCCUGGUGGAAAUAAUUUCGGUGAGGGAUGGGCCCGCGGCCUAUCAGCUUGUUGGUGGGGUAACGGCCCACCAAGGCGACGACGGGUAGCCGGCCUGAGAGGGCGACCGGCCACACUGGGACUGAGACACGGCCCAGACUCCUACGGGAGGCAGCAGUGGGGAAUAUUGCGCAAUGGGCGAAAGCCUGACGCAGCGACGCAGCGUGAGGGACGAAGGCCUUCGGGUUGUAAACCUCUUUCAGCGGGGACGAAGCGAAAGUGACGGUACCCGCAGAAGAAGCACCGGCUAACUACGUGCCAGCCGCCGCCGUAA
This 481-nucleotide ribosomal RNA is filed under the name uncultured bacterium. RNAcentral describes it as "partial 16S ribosomal RNA". It matches the Rfam family "Bacterial small subunit ribosomal RNA", at positions 28 to 523 of the family's 1533-position model. The record is from RNAcentral.